Molecule: long non-coding RNA, 1369 nt
Organism: Panicum hallii
Lineage: Eukaryota; Viridiplantae; Streptophyta; Magnoliopsida; Poales; Poaceae
Exons: 2
Source: RefSeq, a predicted model, not a curated record
GGGGAGUGAAGCUGCUGAUGGGGACGGCCCUACUCGCUGAUGCCUGAUGGAGAUGGAGGUCGCCGAUGGGGAGGACGGUGUCAAUCUGCUCGCCGCUGCACAGGAUCAGGCACGGAGCUGAUCUGCUCGCCCCUUGUCUCCUCGCGCACAUCUAGAGACCCAGAUACGCUCUGACUUGGUCACUUGGAGAAGACUCGAUCUACAGGCCGGGUGGAUUGGAGGGCUGAACGGAGGAGCAGAAGGGGGCGAUGGAGGGGGCGGCACUAGGAAACCCUAGGCCCCAUCGCCAUGUCUUCGGGAGAGGUGAGCCGAGAGGAGCAGGGCGUCGGAGAUGAUGAGGGGGGUCGGAGGGGAAGUGGAAUCCGCUUUCCUUUUUUUCCUCGUGAAUUUGGUGCGGAUCAAGUUUCCUACUUGUGGAAAGUGCUGGAAUCAAGUUUUCCGAUUCUUGCGGCAGCCAAACAGGCCGGCCCUGGAAACCGAUUCCAAUUCAGCACGUUUCUAAUGAUCCAAACGGGCCCUUAAGGAUUUGUGAACUCCCCAAUUGAUCUAGACUUGGAGUGUCUGUUUGGUUCCAGGCCACUAGGGUGUAGAUGUUGUUUCUCGCUUAGAAAAUUUUUUGUUGUGCAAUCAGCUAAUCAUGAAUUUGUCACUGCAGCUGCAUGAAAAAACACACAAUAGGGUGCAUGCAAAAAAAAAAACCACUAGGGUGUAGCUAUCUGCUCCCUUGAUACAAGGACAUAGCUUAGUUGCUCCAAGCAAACUGAGCAAUAAACCUGGUGCAUGCAUAUUCUGUACAUUUAGAGUGUAUAUAUGUUUAGACUAUCGAUCCAUGGAUUCUAAUUCUAAUUAACAGUCAUGAUUUUGUCAGCACUGUCUUAAUGAAACUUGAAAUUGUACCUUUUCUUUCUUGAGCAGCUUGUGGGAACUCCAAUCACCAAUAUGCUGAAGAAUGACAUGAGCCAUGCUAUGGGCAACAGAAAGAGGAAAUGUUGUCUUUAUGACUGGUCAACCACGUGAAACCAAAAUAUAUGCCAAUGGAAUUCUGAAGCAUCUUUUGGAAUUUGUACAUCACUGAUGGUAGAUUGUAUUGCUUUCUGUUGCCUUUUCUCUUCUUAAAGGUCCAAAUAAUAUAGCCAGGGAUGACCAACUGUUUUCUACCUACGUAUUUCCCAUUUCAGAUUAAAUUACUACAGUAAAAGCAUAGUAGUAGUUUUAGUACUAUCUUGUGGCUGAAAAUUGUUGACUAGAUUUCAAAAUAUAUGCCUGUGUUACUGGAUAAUAGUUGUAAUAAGUUUACUUCCUGUUAUUUGCCCAACCAAUGUGUACUGUAUUAAUAUUUUCAUUAAAUGAUGGUUACUUGAUUAGGUAA